Hemicordylus capensis (graceful crag lizard) is the source of this 4893-nucleotide long non-coding RNA. RefSeq lists it as uncharacterized. NCBI's taxonomy places the organism in Eukaryota, Metazoa, Chordata, Lepidosauria, Squamata, Cordylidae. The record is from RefSeq and is a predicted model, not a curated record. The transcript has 4 exons.
AGCAGCGAGCAGGUCCCACGGAGUUCAAGGGGAGUACGCGUGUGAGGCUGCAGCCGCUAGUGCUGCUGAUUCCCCUGAGGAGACCAAAUGGGACGCGCCGUGGCGGCGCGCUCUUUUCCCGUCUCCGAUUGGGGGGCGGGGGGAGUAGCUGAUGGGUGACCCCCCCCCCCAUAACAACGUGUCACGAGCUCCCACCGCCGAAGAAGUGCCCCGCCUCCGUCCCCCUGGUGCUUGCAGAGAGCUUGCCACCCCCUGGUUUCCGCGGAGGCCGAGAGCCAGCGAGGAGGGAAGCGGGCUUCGGUGGUGACUCAGGGGUCACUCACUCCCGCAGCAGUCCACAUGGCCGGGAGCGUGUGCCUCCCGCUAGGCUCAGCCAUGUGUCAACAAACACCAGCCGAGGCGCUGCUGCUGCUGCUGCCGCCGCCGCCCUUGAAAGGCUGCUCGGCUUCCCAAGUGCCAGAGGCAACAACAACACUCCAGACACAGUCCCAGUUCGGAAGGCAAACCCACUUGGGUUAAAAUUACAUCUUGCGCCGUGAGUUGAGGCUCGAAAACCAGAGUAUCGGUGUGGAGCGGAGCUCAUGAAAUUGAUUUGCUGGGUUCUUCAGCAGGCUUCAUAUUUGGUGGUGGCAGGAAAGCUGCCAGACCUGACAAAUCUCCAAGAUGAAGGAAAGGAGAGAUAUUCUUCCAACCACCUGCAUUGUAUAUAAAUAAAUACAGCCAAGAAAGUCCAGUUGUACAACAGCAAAAGCACGCGUGUUUCUCUGCUCUCCUUGUCUAAGCUAAUGUGGAUCACAAAGCUACUAAGUGAGACUAGUAUAUUUGCUGCUUUGACAGAAAGCAACCUCAUUCAAAGAGCCACAGAACAAAAGAAAGGAGGGAAGAAGCCAAGACUGAAAAGAAAUUAAAUACAAAGGAAAGCAACUUUGCUUUGUACUGGGGAAGAUCAGCUGGUCAGCAACACACAAGCUCAUUGCAUGAGAUAGGAUCUUCAUUAUGGGAAGGGCAGUGGGGGAGGAAGGGGCGGCACAUAAAAACACACACACACAAAAGCCAGUUGGCUUCCAUUAUAGUCUAAUAGCAGACAUUUUUUCUCUUUCCACAGGAAAGACAAACUAAUGUUCUGCAGCUACAUUAAGAUUUUAUCACUUCAAGCUUUUGUGGGAUUUUUUUCCUCUUUCCAAUGUUCCUUCUUAUGUAACACACACAUGCUGGGCCAAGGAGAGGCAAAGUUGCUGCUCCUCCCCUCACCCCCGCUUCUGCUCAAGGCAGCCAAUGUGCCUUUCCUAUUUAUUUAUUUGAACUUCUAUCCCGUGUUUUCUUACAGAGAGUAUUGUGGGCAGGCUGCACAUGUUUAGAAGAUUCCAUUUUUUAAAAAAGCCAUGGAUGAGUCCCAGAUUGCUAUGAAAACAUAACUGCCUCUUAUUUUAUUUAUUCCAUCUUUUCUCCAAAGAGCUCAAAAUUACAUACAUGGUUUCUGUACAUGCGUGCACACAUGCACGCACACACACACAUGACGCAUGCACACGUACAUUGCAAUUAUCAAUAUAUUUAUUUUGGUCUUUGACCAGCAUAAGGUAAAAGGAGACAUACAAGCUGUGAAAUUAGCAACUAUUAACAUUAAAAGCAGUAGAAUCUAUGCCUAGAAACUUGAGCCAUAGAGUUAAAAGGUAGUGACAUUAAAGCUGUAAAACUAGAAUCUAUAAGUCUAUAUCAAUAAAAUCUAUAAAAAGCUAUAAAAUCUAUAAAAAGCUACAAAAGCUAUAAGACUAAAAUGAUGACUCUAAACUAUAAUAAAAGUAAUAGGAUAUACUCUGUGCUAUCUAAGAAGUUGAGGCAAUAAAAACAGUAGGAUUGAGUAAGUGCACAACAAGUAUAAGCUAUGUCAGGCCUCGUUAAGAGCCCAAUGAAUAUUACAUGCUGCUGCGCAGAACUUGGCCACAUUGUCUGUUAUGUGGGGGUUGCAAUCAGAAAGUAGUAGAGAGAUGUAGAAUUGGCCUGUAUGGCCUGGCAACCUGGCGAGUAGUGGUGGGAGGAUAAGGGCAUUGCAGAUGUCACUGUAAAACAGGCUGUGUGGUAGAACAUGUUUGGUGGUUUCAACUUGCCCAGCAUCACUGGGGCACAAACGUUCUGGCAAGGGGAUGCUCAUAUAUCUUCCAUCUAAAACAGCCAAAGAGAGGGCACACACUGCAAUUUUAUCCUGUCAACCACUGUGUGGACCUUUUCACACAAUAGUAUCUUUUUCAGUUCCCACUGUCAUGCCCUCACCCACAGAUAACAAUGAGGAGUGGGAGCCCGGCAACCCUCUAGUGGGCAAAGAGGCACCUGAAAGGGAGAGCUCGGUUGUCAGGCCGCAGGAGGUAGCUGAGAUGAGCCAGAGUGAAGGUUCAGGACAACAAGACCCGUCGGGAGCAGAGAUGGAAGGCCAAACCCUGAGCUGGAGAACAAUCAACCAUUAACCCCCACAAGAGCAGAGACGUGCAAAACACCAACAGCAGGUGCAGGCACUCAGAAGAAGUCAGUGCCUCCUUGGCAGGCAAGAUAAGCACUGAAUCUCUAACAGCUGGCUGGGGAAGGAGAGCAAUUAAGCCAAGGACUAUAAAUCAGCCGGCAGGCAACAAACAAGCUGCUGGAAACAAUGUGUUGGUUGAACUUGCUGCAUACCAAACCUUCUGUUAUGUGGAAUUCCCAGCUUUGUGGUGGAACUCUAGAGUUCUGGGCUUCCCCUGCUUGUAACCUGAUUCCUGAGUGACUUCAUCUGGGAUGAGCUGCUGGUGACGCCUUUGACCCUUGGCUCAGGAUGUUUGGGAUCUGAUGUGGAGUGACUCCUGAGCUACCGGCCUCUCUGGAUAGAGACCAGGGACCAGACUGUGGACAGACAAGCUUGUGACACCUGUCUACUUAAUGAUGGGUUCCCCUGCAGGCUCCAGACACAUAUUUUGAGUUCUGAAGAAAGUUCUCAUUUCUCCUUGUGAGUCUUGGUGCUCCAGCCAGAGGCAAAGCACUUUCCUCCUGUUAUUUUUGGAGCACCUCCACUGGCCAACACUUUCCUUCCCAUCUUUAAAAUGGCCAUGAAAAGAGACAGUUUUCUGUUCCCCCAAGGGUGCUGGUUAGAAGGGAGAACUAUAGGCAGUUUGAGUCAGGACACUAUCACCACAGUCUAGAAUGCUUCCACUCCUGAGAGUCAGCUAGCACCAGAAAGCCAAUCCCCAGAGGUGCAGCUAUAAUUGAACAAGGUGGGACAAAUGUAUUUUUCUUUUCCUAACAGCAGCUGUGGGAAGGCUGAUCUGGAAUGGGGUCAUGGCACACAGGGGGCUUUAACCAUUUUAUCCUGAGCCAAUUUCCCCAGUGCAAAUCCUUUCCUGCUGGAGCUACUCAUAGAUGCAGUGGGGGCGUGGUGCAUACUAUACAAUUGCUUGUAUGCUUUCCACAGGUGUCAGCUGAUUUGUAUCAGGGAAUCACUGUGCAGGGAGGGUUAGAUCGCCCUCCCCUACAUCAUAGCCCUUAAUGACUUUGGUCUCCCACAGUUGUGUUUAGGAAAAGAAAUGGAGAUCUAUUCACAGAUCUCACACAUCACAUGGUCAAGCCUUGACCAUGCUCCAAAACAGAUAACAGCAGGGAGUGUGAGUCCAGCACAAACAAGCAAGCAUCAAAGGGGUAAUUUAGUGUGGUAUUUAAUGUGGUUGGGUCAGGCUGGGGUCAGGCAUUGGACCAGUCAGGCAGAGAUCAAAAGAAGCCAGAGGCAGAAGAAACAACUGAGGGUGGGCAGAUGGUCAAGUACCAGAUCAAGAGGAGAAGGAGUGGAAGGGCUAGAGGUAGAUGACAUGGUCAAGGACAGGCUGGUGGUCAAAGACCAGAUCAAGCAGAAGAGCAAGGCAAGAUAAUGUGGCGUUGCUACUUUGUGGGCUGAGUUGCUCUAACUGAGGAGUGGAACAGUGUUCUAUAGAGGCCAGCAAGUUUCUAUAGAUUUCUUGGGUUACCCAGUACUAUCUCCAGCCAUCUGGUGCCAUCCAGACCCGUAGCCACAUGAUGGCAUGGAGUGUACCUGCCUCCUCCAAAAACUCUUCCUCCCCAGCGGCCUUCAGGAGCUCAGCUGAGGAGGGAGGAGAGAAUAGCUUGCAGCCUCCUGUGCCAGCACUCCAGCUCCUCCUCCUCCUGUUCCCGCCGAGUGAGCAAGCAGCUGCUAGGCUGUGCUUUUGUCUUCUACCGCCUGCGCACCUGCUCAAAGAACCAGUGUGAGCGAGGCCGGCUCGAGGCACUGAGAGAUGGCUGGAGAGAGGCUCUGUAGCUGCAGCACAGAGCAACAGAACAUGGAGGAGGAGAGAGAGGACUAAUCUCUAGUCCUCCCCUUCAGCUGGGCAAUCAAUAUCUUGCUGAAAGGAAAUUUGUGGGAGACAACUUUGUGGGAGACAGUGGGAGGAAAGAAGAAAAGUCUUGGAAAAGAGAGUUCAGAAAACAAAAGGAACAGAGAGAAGUGAGGGGACAGAGAAAUGAGCCAUGGACAGGGAAGUUCCAGCAGAUGAGGAAGAGAGUUUAGAGUAGAGGAGAAUGGUAAUAGUGCCCAUUGGCUUAUUAAAAAUGUUGAGCAGUCAUGUUUGCGGUCUUGCUCCUUUUAUUUUCAAAAGUGAACCAUUAACUGGUUCUGCAGUAUGAUGGCGAUGCAAAACUGUGGCUGACCUUGCUAUGGAUAACCUCUGUGUAUGUGUAAUCUGUUUUAACUUUUUACUGUCAUUUGUUUUAACAAAUGUUUUAAUUUUUGUUGUUGUCAUUUGUUUUAAAUAAUGUUUUAACUUAUCUGUUGUUGUCAUUUGUUGUAAACCACCCAGAGACGCAGGUUUUGGGUGGUAUAAGAAUUUUUAAAAAAAUAUCAUCGGGCAAGUGUCUGUCUUGGUA